This is an RNA transcript of Carlito syrichta (Philippine tarsier), 1634 nucleotides long. It is a transcript of the gene named UDP-glucuronosyltransferase 2B4-like, with no coding region annotated. The record is from RefSeq and is a predicted model, not a curated record. NCBI's taxonomy places the organism in Eukaryota, Metazoa, Chordata, Mammalia, Primates, Tarsiidae. The transcript is spliced from 6 exons.
AUGAUGUCUAUGAAAUGGACUUCAGUGCUUCUGCUAAUACAGUUGAGUUGUUAUUUUAGCUCUGGGAGUUGUGGGAAGGUGCUGGUGUGGCCAACAGAAUACAGCCAUUGGUUGAAUAUGAAGACAAUCCUGGAUGAACUUGUCCGGAGAGAUCACGAGGUGACUGUAUUGGCAUAGUCUGCUUCCAUUCUUGUUGAUCCCAAUAAAUCAUCCACUAUCAAAUUUGAAGUUUAUUCUACAUCGUUAACUAAAAAUGAUUUUAAGGAUACUAUCAUGAAAAUUGUCGAUGUAUGGACACACAUUCCAAAAAAUACAUUUUUGCCGGAUUUUUCAAAAGUACAGGAAGUGUUGUGGAAAUUUUCUGGCAAAGUCAGAAAGGUCUGUAAAGAUGUUGUUUUGAAUGAAAAACUGAUGAGGAAACUACAAGAAUCCAAGUUUGAUGCCAUUUUUGCUGAUGCCAUUAUUCCCUGUGGUGAGCUGCUGGCUCAGCUACUUAAAAUACCCUUUGUGUACAGUCUCCGCUACUCUCCUGGCCGCAAAUUUGAGAAGUAUGGUGGAGGACUUCUGUUUCCUCCUUCCUACGUACCUGUUGUCCUGUCGGAAUUAAGUGAUCAAAUGACAUUCAUGGAGAGAAUAAAAAAUAUGAUAUAUAUGCUUUAUUUUGACUUUUGGUUCCAAAUAUUUGAUAUGAAAGAAAGGGAUCAGUUUUACAGCGAAGUACUAGGAAGACCCACUACAUUAUUAGAGAUAAUGGGAAAAGCUGAAAUAUGGCUUAUUCGAAGCUAUUGGAAUUUUGAAUAUCCUCGCCCACUCUUACCAAAUUUUUUUUUUGUUGGGGGACUCCACUGUAAACCUGCCAAACCCCUGCCUAAGGAAAUGGAAGAAUUUGUCCAGAGCUCUGGAGAAAAUGGUAUUGUGGUGUUUUCUCUGGGGUCAAUGAUCAGUGAUAUGACAGAAGAAAGGGCCAAUGUGAUUGCUUCAGCCCUUGCCCAGAUCCCACAAAAGGUUCUAUGGAGAUUUGAUGGCAAGAAACCAGAUACUUUAGGACCCAAUACUCGACUGUACAAGUGGAUGCCCCAGAAUGACCUUCUUGGUCAUCCAAAAGCCAAAGCUUUCAUAACUCAUGGUGGAUCCAAUGGCAUCUAUGAGGCCAUCUAUCAUGGGAUCCCUAUGGUGGGCAUUCCUCUAUUUGCGGAUCAACCUGAUAAUAUUGCUCACAUGAAGGUCAAGGGAGCAGCCAUUAGCUUGGACUUCCACACAAUGUCAAGUACAGAUUUGCUUAAUGCAUUGAAGACAGUAAUUCAUAAUCCUUUAUAUAAAGAGAAUGCUAUGAGAUUGUCAAAAAUUCAACAUGAUCAGCCAGUGAAGCCCCUGGAUCAAGCAGUGUUCUGGAUCGAGUUUGUCUUGCGCCAUAAAGGAGCCAAACACCUUCGGGUUGCAGCCCAUGACCUCAUGUGGUUCCAGUACCACUCUUUGGAUGUGAUUGGGUUCCUGCUGGCCUGUGUGGCUACUGUGAUCUUCAUCAUCAUAAGGUGUUGCUUGUUUGUUUUCCUGAUGUUUGCUAAAACAGGGAAGAAGGGUAAAAAGGAUUAGUUAUAUCAAAGGCCUGAAGCUGGGAUGCCUGUUAGAUAGAA